This 485-nucleotide ribosomal RNA is filed under the name uncultured bacterium. RNAcentral describes it as "partial 16S ribosomal RNA". It matches the Rfam family "Bacterial small subunit ribosomal RNA", at positions 30 to 506 of the family's 1533-position model. The record is from RNAcentral.
AUUGAACGCUGGCGGCAUGCCUUACACAUGCAAGUCGAACGGCAGCACGGGUGCUUGCACCUGGUGGCGAGUGGCGAACGGGUGAGUAAUACAUCGGAACAUGUCCUGUAGUGGGGGAUAGCCCGGCGAAAGCCGGAUUAAUACCGCAUACGAUCUACGGAUGAAAGCGGGGGACCUUCGGGCCUCGCGCUAUAGGGUUGGCCGAUAGCUGAUUAGCUAGUUGGUGGGGUAAAGGCCUACCAAGGCGACGAUCAGUAGCUGGUCUGAGAGGACGACCAGCAACAGUGGGACUGAGAAACGGCCCAGACUCCUACGGGAGGCAGCAGUGGGGAAUUUUGGACAAUGGGCGAAAGCCUGAUCAAGCAAUGCCGCGUGUGUGAAGAAGGCCUUCGGGUUGUAAAGCACUUUUGUCCGGAAAGAAAUCCUUGGCUCUAAUACAGUCGGGGGAUGACGGUACCGGAAGAAUAAGCACCGGCUAACUACGU